CAGAUCACGUAGGGUGCUAGUCGUUGAACAAACGAACCGUUGACAGCUACUGCACCGUCGGGGUACCCUGAUCCAACAUCGAGGUCGUAGAUCUUCUUGUUGAUAUGGACUCUUUGAGAAGGUGGCGCUGUUAUCCCCGGGGUAGCUUAUUUCGUUAAUCAGUGUUACUGGAUCGGGGAAAAGAGACUUGUGGGUCUGAUUGUUUGAUGAGGUUAAUUUUUUCUAAAGUUGUCCCAACUGAAACUAUUAUUUAUUUGUGUAAGUAAUUUGUUAAAGUUCCACGGGGUCUUUUUGUCUUGCUUUUUCAUAUCAGCUUUUGUACUGAUUAUUCAAUUUCGUUGGCGGCUCCUAGGAGACAGGUCUUCUCUCAUGGUGCCUUUCAUACGGGUCCUCAUUUAAGGGACAAGUGAUUGUGCUACCUUUGCACGGUUUUGUGCCGCGGCCGUUUAGAUGAUUCCACAGGGCAGGCGUGACUUCUAAUACAUGUUUGGCUAGAAGCUAUGUUUUU
RNAcentral lists this ribosomal RNA (508 nucleotides) under Rieppeleon brevicaudatus (bearded pygmy chameleon). Its description in RNAcentral is "16S ribosomal RNA". The record is from RNAcentral. Lineage: Eukaryota; Metazoa; Chordata; Lepidosauria; Squamata; Chamaeleonidae.